RNAcentral lists this long non-coding RNA (335 nucleotides) under Naja naja (Indian cobra). Its description in RNAcentral is "lncRNA (ENSNNAG00000010674.1)". Lineage: Eukaryota; Metazoa; Chordata; Lepidosauria; Squamata; Elapidae. The record is from RNAcentral.
CAUAAUCAGCGCUGGGAUGAUAAAGUGAAACAUCUGUAUUAAUUAAUUAAAGUUUGGAGUUUGAAGCUUAACUUUCCUAUGGGGCAUAAGGGGAAUCAGUUACUCCUGAAGCAAUUGGGUUCCUCUCUGCUGUUGGGGUCUUUAUAGUUCUCCUUGCAGUCCUCUCCCUCUUCAUCAACAAGAAGCUCUGUUUUGAAAAGAUUGGAGGUCUUCCUUGCUUGGAGCAACAGGGGAAGCACAAGCACUACAAAGAAAAAUCUGGGGUUCGGGAGGGUCUUGCUCACAGAGCACUGAAUCUGAUACACUGGCAAAGAGGAACAGCUGGAAUUUAUGAC